This 371-nucleotide ribosomal RNA is filed under the name uncultured bacterium. Its description in RNAcentral is "bacterial SSU rRNA". It matches the Rfam family "Bacterial small subunit ribosomal RNA", at positions 527 to 896 of the family's 1533-position model. The record is from RNAcentral.
GGAGGGUGCUAGCGUUGUUCGGAAUUAUUGGGCGUAAAGAGCGUGUAGGCGGCCUCGUAAGUCAGAUGUGAAAGCCCUUGGCUUAACCAAGGAAGUGCAUUUGAAACUGCCUGGCUUGAGUACGGGAGAGGGAAGUGGAAUUCCGAGUGUAGGGGUGAAAUCCGUAGAUAUUCGGAGGAACACCAGUGGCGAAGGCGGCUUCCUGGACCGAUACUGACGCUGAGACGCGAAAGCGUGGGGAGCAAACAGGAUUAGAUACCCUGGUAGUCCACGCCGUAAACGAUGGGCACUAGGUGUCGCGGGUAUUGACCCCUGCGGUGCCGUAGCUAACGCAUUAAGUGCCCCGCCUGGGGAGUACGGCCGCAAGGCUA